AAGAUGUGUAUAAGAGACAGGUGAGUCAUCGAAUCUUUGAACGCACAUUGCACCUUUUGGUAUUCCAUGAGGUAUACAUGUUCGAGCGUCGUUUAAAUCUGAGACUGACGUCUUGUGUUGACGUAUUCCGGCGGAUGUUGGAACGUUGAAAAUUAUAGGCGCACGUAUUCCGAUGCGAAUCCCAAUAAACUGGGAAAGCGCGGAAGUGCGGGCCGUCCUGAACCUUAAACCUUAAUCGAACGUUCGACCUCGAAUCAUGUAGGAUUACCCGCUGAACUUAAGCAUAUCAAUAAGCGGAGG
This 300-nucleotide unclassified non-coding RNA is filed under the name uncultured Dothideomycetes. Its description in RNAcentral is "sequence contains 5.8S rRNA gene, ITS2". The stretch from base 245 to 300 matches the Rfam family "Eukaryotic large subunit ribosomal RNA", at positions 1 to 56 of the family's 3401-position model. Lineage: Eukaryota; Fungi; Ascomycota; Dothideomycetes. The record is from RNAcentral.